GACGAACGCUGGCGGCGUGCUUAACACAUGCAAGUCGAACGAAGUGGCGAACGGGUGAGUAACGCGUAAUCAACCUUCCCUUCAGAGGGGGACAACAGUUGGAAACGACUGCUAAUAACGCAUACUGAAGGAGGAGAUUGCGUCUGAUUAGGUAGUUGGAGGGGUAACGGCCCACCAAGGCGAGUACCAGUAGCCGGGCUGAGAGGAUGAACGGCAACAUUGGGACUGAGACACGGCCCAGACCCCUACGGGAGGCAGCAGUGGGGAAUCUUCCGCAAUGGACGAAAGUCUGACUGAGCAACGCCGCGUGAGUGAUGACGGCCUUCGGGUUGUAAAGCUCUGUUAAUCGGGACGCGGUACCGGAAUAGAAAGCCACGGCUAACUACGUGCCAGCAGCCGCGGUAAUUC
RNAcentral lists this ribosomal RNA (408 nucleotides) under uncultured bacterium. RNAcentral describes it as "partial 16S ribosomal RNA". It matches the Rfam family "Bacterial small subunit ribosomal RNA", at positions 28 to 526 of the family's 1533-position model. The record is from RNAcentral.